GACGAACGCUGGCGGCGUGCUUAACACAUGCAAGUCGAACGGGCCUUGUCCCCUUUUUUUUGGGGGUGGGGUUAGUGGCGAACGGGUGAGUAACACGUGAGUAGCCUGCCCCUCACUUCUGGAUAACCGCUUGAAAGGGUGGCUAAUACGGGGUGUUCUGGCCUGCUCGCAUGGGUGGGUUUGGAAAGAUUCGACCGGUUUUGGUUGUUUUGGUGGGGGAUGGGCUCGCGGCCUAUCAGCUUGUUGGUGGGGUGAUGGCCUGCCAAGGCUUUGACGGGUAGCCGGCCUGAGAGGGUGGGCGGUCACACUGGGACUGAGACACGGCCCAGACUCCUACGGGAGGCAGCAGUGGGGAAUAUUGCACAAUGGGCGCAAGCCUGAUGCAGCGACGCCGCGUGAGGGAUGGAGGCCUUCGGGUUGUGAACCUCUUUCGCCAGUGAAGAAGGUCCUGCUCUUUGUGGUGGGGUUGACGGUAGCUGGGUUAAUGAAGCGCCGGCUAACUACGUG
Molecule: ribosomal RNA, 507 nt
Filed under: uncultured bacterium
Lineage: Bacteria
Description: partial 16S ribosomal RNA
Rfam family: Bacterial small subunit ribosomal RNA
Source: RNAcentral